AUGAGCGCAGAGGAGGGGAGGUCUGCGGCAAGAUGGAGGAAGAGGAUCCCGCGGCCGCCAUGCCCUGCUCGCCGUGCCGGCACCCAGCCGUGCUCCGUCGCGGCCGCCGCAGCCAAGCCACGCACCGACGCGACCGCCGCCCCGUCCUUAGACGAUGUAGACAAGGCCGUCGAGCGUGAGCACAGAGGAGGGGAGGUCAACGGCAAGAUGGAGGAAGAGGAUCCCGCGGCCGCCAUGCCCUGCUCGCCGUGCCGGCGCCCAGCCGCGCUCCGCCACAGAGCUCCCUGGCGCCAGUCGCCAUCCGCGCCGCUCGCCGUCCAGCCGGUCAACAUCCCCAUCGCGGGCAUGUGUGUGUAG
Molecule: ribosomal RNA, 357 nt
Filed under: Triticum aestivum (bread wheat)
Lineage: Eukaryota; Viridiplantae; Streptophyta; Magnoliopsida; Poales; Poaceae
Description: partial small subunit ribosomal RNA
Source: RNAcentral